AGUUGGUGGAGUGAUCUGUCAGGUUAAUUCCGUUAACGAACGAGAUUUUAUCUUUCUAGUUAUGGAGGGUAUUGAUUACUUUUCAUUUCUUAGAAGGACAUCAUGUUUUUAACAUGAGGAAGCAUAAAGCAAUAACAGG
Molecule: ribosomal RNA, 139 nt
Filed under: uncultured eukaryote
Lineage: Eukaryota
Description: partial small subunit ribosomal RNA
Rfam family: Eukaryotic small subunit ribosomal RNA
Source: RNAcentral